This 468-nucleotide ribosomal RNA is filed under the name uncultured bacterium. RNAcentral describes it as "partial 16S ribosomal RNA". It matches the Rfam family "Bacterial small subunit ribosomal RNA", at positions 28 to 507 of the family's 1533-position model. The record is from RNAcentral.
GACGAACGCUGGCGGCGUGCUUAACACAUGCAAGUCGAACGGAAAGGCUCUGAUGUUGGGGGGUGCUAGAGUGGCGAACGAGUGAGUAACACGUGAGUAACCUGACCUUGACUUUGGGAUAACUUCAGGAAACUGGGGCUAAUACCGGCUAGGAGCACCAGCUGCUUGGUGGGGGUUGGAAAGUUUCGGCGGUUGGGGAUGGACUCGCGGCUUAUCAGCUUGCUGGUGGGGUAGUGGCUUACCAAGGCUUUGACGGGUAGCCGGCCUGAGAGGGUGACCGGCCACAUUAGGACUGAGAUGCGGCCCAGACUCCUACGGGAGGCAGCGGUGGGGAAUAGUGCACAACGGGCGGAAGCCUGAUGCAGCAACGCCGCGUGCGGUAUGACGGCCUUCGUGUUGUAAACCGCUGUCGCCUGUGACGAAGCGUGAGUGACGGUAAUGGGUAAAGAAGCACCGGCUAACUACGUG